Molecule: long non-coding RNA, 811 nt
Organism: Daphnia magna
Lineage: Eukaryota; Metazoa; Arthropoda; Branchiopoda; Diplostraca; Daphniidae
Exons: 4
Source: RefSeq, a predicted model, not a curated record
UUAGACGUUAUGCUUUAUCUAAUCAAACGAGACGUACGACAUGUAUGGCCAUCUAUAAAAGACGCUUGUUGCUCGAUACUUUCUGUGGCGCCACUUGUUUUUUCGGAAACUGUUUAACCCUCAUUCCCCCUCCCCCUUUGAUUAAGUGACGUCUGUGAGCCUUAAUGGCGGUUCAGUCAGUUUAGAUUUUGGCUCACCCUUUGUGACUUUGAUUUUGACCGACUUCUCCUCCACGAUUCGCUUGAAUACCUACAGUAUCCUACCCACUUGACUGAUUUGAGUGUAUGACGUAAGCGGGCACAUGCCCGACUUGACCUGGAUUUGUUUCCCUUUGUGGGAUUUCUGUUAGUAAGUGAUUGGCCCAGUGUGUCUCAUAGUUGGGACUCACUAUUAGUCGACCUGACAGCUUCACCCCAAUCACUUAGUAGCUCGUAUGACUUGACAGGGUUGGUGAGUGACUUUAAUGUGUGUCGAUUAAGAUUGCAUGGAUUUUAUUGUAUGUCUUGACUUAGAGAUCCCUGAUUUCUUGGAUGUGAAUUGACUCCUGCCUGUGGCAGAAUUUGACUUGAUCGGUCACCCUGAGUGACCCCUGUGCAUGAUAUCUCACCCAAGCCUGUAUUUCAUCUCAGGAUUGGUGAAUAUAGUUUCGAUUUAUGCAAAAGAGUGAUCGCAUUUACAGUCCACUCUCACUAUCGCGCUAUCACCCACCGUGAUGGUGCACCAGAAUGAGAAACGUGCUCGCUGGUAAAAAAGAGAGCAUAGAUUCACGAUUGUUAUACGCCAUGGAUUGAGCAGAAGUUCCUGGACGUUA